CGGGAUGUGGCGCAGUUCGGUUAGCGCGUUCGUCUGGGGGGCGAAAGGUCGGAGGUUCAAAUCCUCUCAUCCCGACCA
Molecule: transfer RNA, 78 nt
Filed under: Candidatus Cloacimonadota bacterium
Lineage: Bacteria; Pseudomonadati; Candidatus Cloacimonadota
Also listed under: 1 other name
Description: tRNA-Pro
Rfam family: tRNA
About the family: Transfer RNA (tRNA) molecules are approximately 80 nucleotides in length. Their secondary structure includes four short double-helical elements and three loops (D, anti-codon, and T loops).
Source: RNAcentral